RNAcentral lists this ribosomal RNA (468 nucleotides) under uncultured bacterium. Its description in RNAcentral is "partial 16S ribosomal RNA". It matches the Rfam family "Bacterial small subunit ribosomal RNA", at positions 28 to 507 of the family's 1533-position model. The record is from RNAcentral.
GACGAACGCUGGCGGCGUGCUUAACACAUGCAAGUCGAACGGAAAGGCCCUGCUUUUGUGGGGUGCUCGAGUGGCGAACGGGUGAGUAACACGUGAGUAACCUGCCCUUGACUUUGGGAUAACUUCAGGAAACUGGGGCCAAUACCGGAUAGGAGCUCCUGCUGCAUGGUGGGGGUUGGAAAGUUUCGGCGGUUGGGGAUGGACUCGCGGCUUAUCAGCUUGUUGGUGGGGUAGUGGCUUACCAAGGCUUUGACGGGUCGCCGGCCUGAGAGGGUGACCGGCCACAAGGGGACUGAGAUACGGACCAGACUCCUACGGGAGGCAGCAGUGGGGAAUAUUGCACAAUAGGCGGAAGCCUGAUGCAGCAGCGCCGCGUGCGGGAUGACGGCCUUCGGGUUGUAAACCGCUUUCGCCUGUGACGAAGCGUGAGUGACGGUAAUGGGUAAAGAAGCACCGGCUAACUACGUG